RNAcentral lists this transfer RNA (87 nucleotides) under Haematospirillum jordaniae. It matches the Rfam family "tRNA". From Rfam's summary of the family: Transfer RNA (tRNA) molecules are approximately 80 nucleotides in length. The record is from Rfam by way of RNAcentral. Lineage: Bacteria; Pseudomonadati; Pseudomonadota; Alphaproteobacteria; Rhodospirillales; Novispirillaceae.
GGAGAGGUGCCGGAGCGGUCGAACGGGACGGUCUCGAAAACCGUUGUACCCGCAAGGGUACCGUGGGUUCGAAUCCCACCCUCUCCG